This 2439-nucleotide long non-coding RNA is filed under the name Homo sapiens (human). Its description in RNAcentral is "HSALNT0133836". Lineage: Eukaryota; Metazoa; Chordata; Mammalia; Primates; Hominidae. The record is from RNAcentral.
GGUUUCAGUCUAUCACCCUGACUGGAGUGCAGUAGCAUAAUCAUGGCUUACUGCAACCUCGACCUUACAAGCUCAAGUGAUCCUCUCACCUCAGCCUCCUGAGAAGGUGAGACUACAGGCAUGCACCACCACAUCUGCCUGAUUUUUUCCUUUUUUUUUUUUUGAGACGGAGUCUCACUCUGUCGCCAGGCUGGAGUGCGAUGGCACAAUCUCGGCUCACUGCAACCUCCGCCUUCCAGGUUCAAGUGAUUCUCCUGCUUCAGCCUCCUGAGUAGCUGGGACUACAGGUGCCUGCCACCAUGCCUGGCUAAUUUUUAUAUUUUUAGUAGAGAUGAGGUUUCACCAUGUUGGCCAGGAUGGUCUCGAUCUCUUGACCUCGUGAUCUACCAGCCUCGGCCUCCCAAAAUGCUGGGAUUACAGGCAUGAGCCACCACACCCAGCCUUUUUUCUAUUUUUUAUAGAGAUGGGGUCUCACUAUGUUGCCUAGGCUGGUCUUGAACUCCUGGGUUCAAGCGAUCCUCCUGCCUUGGCCUUCCCAAAUGCUGGGGUUGUAGACCUGAGCCACCAUGCCUGGUCAUCUUUCCCCAGUCUUAGCAUGUGGAUGUGAGAGCUGGAAGAUUCCCAAAGACCUGGCCGGAGACUCCUGUUUGAAGGAGGAGAGGGAAGAGCCUUAAGGGGUUCCCAAGGUUGCACAUCUGGGCAGGGACAGAACAUCAGACACAUUGUACGGCUGCAACAGGCUGGCACUGCUGACAUCACAGACAUCAGGACAGACCAGGAAGACACCCAUCAAAUUCUGGGCUGGAAGAUACGGAAUACUCUGACUUUACCCAAGGCUGAGCCUUCCUCAGAAGCUCCUGAGAAGAAAAGAAUUCAGGGGCCUCAUGAAUGAGGCUCAGAAAUUUGGUGCAAUAAUCACCAAUGAGCCCCAACCCAGGGAAGUGUAACGUAUCACCCCAAUUUUAUAAGGAAGAACACUGAGGCUCAGAGAGGUAAAGUAACCCAUCCAAGAGUCAUAGAGGGGGAUCGUCUGGGUCCAAAGCACAGCAGCCUCAUGGGGAGCACCUUGUACUGUGUCCUGUGCUACCCAUUGGCAAUGCAGACAGCAGGGGGGAUGCGUGCAUCUGGAGGAAGAUUAGCAUCAGCAUUUCACCUGAAGCCUGAGGGCUCAAAGGAAAAUGUUUUACAGGUAGCGGUAGCUCUUCAGAAAACCAGGGAGGGAAGUGACCAGGGAUGUGUCUCUGCUUCUGCAUGGCGUUAUCAUGCAAGCUGUGCAGUGUGCCCCAACUCUCAAGAUCGGAGUCACUGCAGACCACCACCCGCAGCCCCAAAUCUCUACCCUCUGGAAGGACGGAGAACAUAUUCAGGUGCAGACCUCAGCCCUCUGCAUGCAGUAGAGGUGAAAUAAGUCAUCGUGGAAGGAAUGAGUGAAUGGAGAGAAUCUGCGCUCAGAAUCCCAACGAUGGAAUUGGAGGAAUGUGGACCCUGGAGUCUGGAUAAUUUGAGCAUUUCCAAGGAGCAGCCAGCAUCUGUGACUUGCCUAGGGACUUAGUGAGUCCAGCCAGCCCAGAGUCCAGGCCCUGCUGCCCAGCCAACUCCUGGCUGCCCAAAAGCACCAGGCUGUUCUGUAAGUGGAGGGCAACUGCACCUGUCCCGCACUCAGCUUCUGUCUCCUGGACUCUUGCUAACAGCUUCCCAGCUAGUUUCUCACUUUCCACUCGGCCCUUUAACCUAUCCUCUCCUCUCCCACAAAUACAAUCUUUCUGAAGAGCAAACCUGAUCCCAUUCCUCCCUGCUUAAAAUCCUCCCAUGGCUCCCCGCUACCCUGAAGUUAAAGUCUGAUCUGUUUAGUAUAAGCCCACGAAGGCUGACAGUGCUGGCCUUGGAAUACCUCAGCUGUCCCCUCAGGGGACCCAGUGCCCCAGACUUGAAUGGUUUGAAUGAUUCGGAAAACCUGCCUGGUCUCCUGAGUCCAUGCUUUUGCAGAUCCUUGUCCCUCUGCUUCAAACACCCGCUUCCAUCCAUCUAUCCAUCCAUCCAUCCAUCCAUCCAUCCAUCCAUUCAGUAAAUAAUAAUUGUGCUCUCUUUACAUGCCAGGCAUAGUGUGAGUUGCCAAAGUUACAGCAGUCAACAAGACAGUGUUUUUGGCCCCUUGGAGCUUGCGUUAUAGUGGAGGGAGAUACACCUUAGAAAGAGAACAAGCAACAAAAAUAUGUAUGUAUUUUGAAUUGAUGUAAUUAUGUACACACGUGCGCAUGUGUGUGUGUAUGUUUAUAAGUGUAAAAUGCCAUGAGGGAAAUUAAACAGCAUAAUGCGUUGGUCCUUGGGGUGAGGAGACAGUAGCCUUGGAUUACUAAUUCAUUGGGCUAACACUUAUUUGUUUAUCUACACUCCAAUCAGGGGUCACUUCCUCCUGGAAGCCUUCCUGGAUCAGAGCCC